GAGCGGAACCAUGGAGAGGGGGAUCACCCGGUCCCAUUCCGAACCCGGCAGUUAAGCCCCUCCUCGCCGAAAGUACUGCGGGU
Molecule: ribosomal RNA, 83 nt
Filed under: Enterorhabdus sp. P55
Lineage: Bacteria; Bacillati; Actinomycetota; Coriobacteriia; Eggerthellales; Eggerthellaceae
Source: RNAcentral